UUUUAUGUUGAUUAUAAAAUUAGUUUCCUAGUCAUAGGCCAGUGACAAUGAAACUUUGGAAUAGUCAUGACGCAGGGGCUUUGACUUAGAUAAUAAAAUUUAUAUCUUUCCUAAAGAGUAAUAUAGUGACUAAGAGAUCUGUAAUGUAAUUCAAGGUCAGGUGAUAUUCUGUAGGAAGGCAGACUAUCAGAGGCAGAAUUAAAAUGGCCCCUGGUAGGUGUUCUCAGAUUUGUUUUGCUAGCAUAACUGUGACAUGGCCUAUGUCCUCAUAUGCCAAAUUAAACUUGGGCGAUAGCCGGCAAGGGGAUAGGAAUUGCCAAGUUUAUUUUAUUCAACUUAUCACAUGCUGACCCCUGUGCAGUUUACUGGUGCGUCUUUGGUUUGCUUGGUCCUGGUUUUUCUUCAACUGAUUGUUGUCAUUAUGAUCCCUGGCCCUUGGAGAGAGAUGAUUUUUUAGGAGACUGCUGCUCAUUGCUAAGCCAUGAUCCUUUAUUAACCUUUUCAUCAUGAUGAAGUAAGAGUUUUUAGAUCCAUUAUUGCUAGCAUUGCUGUCUAAAGGACUUCUUUUUGUUUUUCAGUAGGGUCUUCAGUCUUAGUUGACUCUGUUGAGGUUAGCAGAUCCCCACUUUACAGGCUAAUGUAGUGAAUGCAUUCUUGAGUUUAGAUGACAUUAGAAUGGAGUAAAGUUUUGUCUGUCACCAUCUGACAUGGCUCUGUGACUCUCAUCAGCAUCCUAGUGCAGGAACAUCAUGGAACCCUUUUCCUUCUUUAGAUACUUAACUUUGGACUCCCUGACAACCUCACGGGGCUUCCAGUAUUUACUGAUGCUUUUGAGUCACCCUCCCUUUCAUAUGAAAGGGUUGUAUACUUUUUGGAAACCUCAGUGAUCUCUUAGCACCCUUUCUUUGCAAGCACUUAGAGUUGUUUUGUAGUUUUCAUAUGUUAAAGAUCUGCUAUUUUGCAACUUCUGUCAAGGAGAGCCAUAGCUCAAAUCUAGUUCCCGUUUGUACUAGAGGGACUAGAGUCCCUUUCAAGUAUUAAAGAGACUUGAAAAUAUAGGGGGAAUGGAGAGGUGCCUUCUAUAGGCCUUACUGUUAUGAUUUUAAAAUAAUAUUGUUAAAUACAGGCCGGGCAUCGUGGCUCACACCUGUAAUCCCAGCACUUUGGGAGGCUGAGGCGGGCAGAUCACUUCAGGUCAGGAAUUUAAGACCAGCCUGGCCAACAUGGCAAAACCUUGUCUCUACUAAAAGUACAAAAAUAUGGCAAAACCUUGUCUCUACUAAAAGUACAAAAAUUAGCCAGGCAUGAUGGUGCACGCCUGUAAUCCCAGCUAUUCAGGAGAAUCGCUUGAACCCGGGAAGCGGAGGUUGCAGUGAGCUGAGGUCGCGCCACUGCACUCCAGCCUGGGCGACUGAGCAAGACUGUGUCUCAAAAAAAAAAAAAAAAAAAAAAAAACCAAAUUGUUAAAUACAAGGUGUUACUUUCAAAGUUACCACUUGGUGUGCAAAGUGGGUUCUUUGAAGAUGCCACCUGUUGCUCACCAGGCUGCAGAUGAAUUUCUUAACAUCUCAGGUGUAGAUUCAGGGAUAGAUUUUACUAGGAAAGGGGGAGUUUUCAAAGCAAGAGAAGAGCCCGUGGAGAGGUGUAUUGAGGUGUCUCUGCUGGAAUGACUCCCAUCACCCCCCUCCUCCAAUGCUGUCUUUUUUAUCAGGCACCUAUGAGAGUAGCUUUGCUAGUGGAGAGAUAGGCAGAAUGCUUAGACACCACGAAAUCUGUAUUUGUGUGCCAGCUGCUUAUAGGUGUUGUCUGGGGGCCGGGCGCGGUGGCUGACGCCUGUAAUCGCAGCACUUUGGGAGGCCUGAGGUCGGGAGUUCGAGACCAGCCUGACCAACAUGGAGAAACCCCAUCUCUACUAAAAAUGCAAAAUUAGCCGGGCGUGGUGGCGCAUGCCUAUAAUUCCAGCUACUCAGGAGGCUGAGACAGGAGAAUCACUUGAACCCAGGAGGCAGAGGUUGCAGGGAGCCGAGAUCAUGCCAUUGCACUUCAGCCUGGGCAACAAGAGCAAAACUCCAUCUCAAAAAAAAAAAAGGAAGUUGUCUGGGAAUGCCAGCUGCCCAACACCUGGAAACUUAGGGACCUGUGGGAUAAUACACACCUGGAGAAGACAGCUGCAGGUCCUGUGGGAAGUUGUGCUUGGGUGCAGCCCCUCUCACUGGGAAAAGGGAUAGCCUCCCAACCCCCUAGUCUACGCUAGUUCAUUGUCUAGGCAACCUGGAGUAUACCUCCAUGGUGACUUUUUUUUUUUUUGAGACGGAGUCUCACUGUGUUGCCCAGGCUGGAGUGCAGUUGUGUGAUCUCGGCUCACUGCACCCUCUGCCUCCCGUGUUCAAGUGAUUUUCCUGUCUCAGCCUCCUGAGUAGCCGGGACUACAGGUGCCUGCCACCAUGCCCGGCUAAUUUUUGUAUUUUUAGUAGAGACAGGGUUUCACCAUAUCUGUCAGGGUGGUCUCCAACUCCUGACCUCAGGUGAUCCACCCACCUUAGUCUCCCAAAGUGCUAGAAUUACAGGCAUGAGUGAGCCACCGCGCCCAGCCUCCAAGGUAACUUUGUAAGUCAACAUUUGUUGUUUUGUGUUUUACCUUCUUUGCUCUGUGUUAUUUGUAAGAAUCACCCAUUUUGUUACAUGUAGCCUUAGGUAGUUUAAUUUCAUUGCUGCAUAGGAUUUCAUUAUAUGAAUUUAUCCAUUCUAUGACUGAUGGAAUUAGAUUGUUUUGAGUUUGGAGCUUUUAUGAAAUAUGUUGUCAUGAAUAUUCUUGAAAAUGGAUGCUAUUGUACAUUUUUGCACAUUUUCUUGAAACAUCUAUUUCUCUUAACAGUGCAAUUCCUGGGUCAUAGGUGAGGCCUCUAGAAGGAAGAAACAGGGGAAGCACAAAAGCACCAGCAGGCCUGCAGCACUGGCAAAAGAAGUCUGAGGCUCAAGGCCUCUGCACUGUAGGCCAUAGUGUCUGCCACUUUGUUAGAUAAUGCCAAACUUUCCAGAGUGAUUGUAUCCAUUUAUACUUCUACCAGUGGGGGGUGAGUGUUCCCCGUGCUCUGUAUGCUCACCAAAGGUUUAUAUUCUCAGUGUGGUAAUCAUUAGAACUGUUAACUAAAUAUUUACAGUUCUUUCCCCUUCAGGACACAUGGUAAAAUUAUACUAAUAUGCCCUCCUGAAGUUAGGUGUAGCCACGUGACUUGCUUUAGCCAACGAAGUGUGAGUGGAAGUGCCAUGUGUCACUUCUAGGCAAAACUUAGGCGCCAGUGCUAAUAUAUAUAAUAGUGGAAUAUAUAUAUAUAUAUUCUAUUUGUGGAAGCAUGGACACACAGCCUCCCAGGGCCUGGGUUCCUAACUGAGGUUGAGGUAGAGCAGUGCCGCCAAGUGGACCCACAGUGGAUGUGUGCAUAGUAUGAGAGAAAUAAACUCGUUACUUUAAGCCAUGAAAUGUUAAAAUUGUUACUGUGGCUUAACCAAGCCUGUCCUGACUGACGGAUAUAGAACUUAAUUUUUAUCGAGCUAGUAGGUAUGUACUGGCAUUUCAUUGUCAUUCUAAUUGCAUUUCUCAUGAAGAUGAGCAUCUUUUCUUGUUUAUUGGCUAUUAGGAGGUCCUCUCUAGUGAAAUGUUUAUUCAGGGUGUUCUUUCUUCUGUGAGGUUGUCUGCCUGUGUUUUAAAAAUGUAUUUGUAAGGGCCGGGCACAGUGGCUAAUGCCUAUAAUCCCAGCACUUUGGGAGGCCGAGGCGAGCGGAUCAACUUAGGUCAGGAGUUUGAGAACAGCCUGGACAACAUGCUGAAACCUUGUCUCUACUAAAAAUACAAAAAUUAGCUGGGCGUGGUGGUGUGCCUGUAGUCCCAGCUACUUGAGAGGCUGAGGCAGGAGAAUCACUUGAACCCGGCAGCUGAGAUCACACCACUGCACUCCAACCUGGGUGACAGAGCGAGACUCCGUCUCAAAAAAAAAAAAAAGAAUGUGUUGGUAGAAGUAGUAUUGAAUAGAAGUAGUGACAGUGGGCAUCUGCUCUGAUUCCUGGUUUCAAAGGGAAGCUUUCAUCCUGUCAUCAUGAAGUAGAGUAUUUGCUAUAGGUUUUUUUGGUAAAGAUUAUCAGGUUAAGGAUGUUUCUUCCUUUCUCUUCCUACUAAGGAUUUUUAAUCAUAAAAGGAUGUUAAAAUUUAUCAAAAGCUUUUUUUCCAGUUCCUGAGGUAAUCAUGAUUUUUUUGCAUCAUCAUUCUAAUACUGCUUUGUAAACAUCUGUAAGGAUGCCUGCUAAAGCAGUAAAGUAAUUCCAGUUCCAGCCGUUUUAUUGGACGUGGCUUUUAGAAGGAAAUAAAAGGCCAUAAAAAUGUUCUUCCUCAUAUGUCUUAUCUUCAGAUAAGUUCCAUAAAGUAUUUUGCUGCCACUGCAAAUUUCUUUUACAGUUUAUGAAACUGUGUAUUUUUGUUGUUCAUGCGGUAUUAGGAAAUAACUGUUCAUGUCUCCUGAGAUUUUUGAAAACGAGUGAUGCAAGGAAUCAGAAUCCUACCCUAUUCAGCUUUAGAAUGCCUGAGGCUUCCAAUAGGUGGCUUCCUUUUCAUAGGAUUUCAAGCUUAUCUUUGCCCUCAUAGAGAGCAGUGCUAAUUCAAGUAUAGCUUCUUCUGUUGAUAAUAAAAAGUGAUCUUUUUACUAAGAUCGGCAAAAGCCUUGUCCUAAGACAAUAGGAACAUCACCUUGAACUCUGUUCUUUUUAACUAAAGAAUCUCUUCACCUUGAGGUCAGAAACUCUCAUCAGUUCCUAGGUCUUUAAGAUCUUCAUUAGAUAGUCAUGGAUAGAUGCCCCAUCACCUUAAGCAGAUGCGGCCGGAGUAGUAGGCUUGUGUAAAGACCAGAUACGACUGAAUUCCUCGGCUCUGACAAGUUGUUUAUUCCUAAUCUUGUGAUUUCUUGUUUAACCUCCUAAGUUGUUUUUGUAUACUCUUUUUAUCGCUGCUUCUCUCUUUUUCACCUCCUCUCUCUCCUUUUCUUCCUGUGUUAAAGGAGGGUUCAUUUCAUUCCAUUUCUAGAGCCAAGUUCUCUUUCUGUCUCUCCCCGACACACACCAUAAUGUCACUUCUUGCACUGGUCUCUAAGGUGUCCUUAGUGUUUGUUCUUCUGUGUCUACACAGAAUGCCCUGGUCUCGGAGCGAAUACAGCCCUUCCCAUGGCUCUACUGCCUCCCUAACUGUAGUUCCAUUUCCAUUGUUCUCAUGCAAGGUGAACUUGAAUUAGUGGGUGAUUUACGCCCAGUCUUUAAUUCUACUUUCUCUGUUCUCUUUCUAGAGUCCCGUAGCCUGGUUUGCACUCCUACCCAAAAUUCACUGAUGAUUUCCCAAUUUUCAAAUCCUGUGGCCGUUUCCUAGUCAUCACCUUCUUUAUUGUUUCUGAGGUAUCUGAUACUGUUAACCCUUCAGUGGAGCACUCUCUUAAUCUUUUUCCACCUUUCUUUCUGUCAUAUAGAACCCUCCUGAUUUUUUUCCUAUUCUUUUCCCACUCUAUCAAGAAGUUAUGUUGUCAGUCAUCUCUCACCUCUCUCUUCUUCCUCUCAUAUUUCUAGCAUAAAUCUCAUCCAUUUUUCAUGUUCUAGGUCUUGAAGCAAAACUUGGGUAUUAAAAAAAACAUUUUUCAUGCUCAAACUAUUAUCUAUGUAGGUAAUUCCCAAAUUGGUAAUUCUAGUCUUGAUGUAUGGCUUGAGUCCUAUUCCUGUAUUUCCAACAGCCUGAAGGCAUUUCUCCUUAAUGUCAUUCUCACAUCUAAAUUUCUUCUUGCCACUUAUCCAGAGCCAGCUUCAGCAUAUGUCUUCUGAAAACCAUUUCUCCCUGCAGCUUCCCUUUUCCAGGAGUGUUACUACCAUCCUCUGUCAUCUACAUUCAAAACCUUUUCUCCCUCUUCCUCGCUCCCAAGAUCCAGUCAAUCACUAAACCUGUGGCUUUUUUCUGUAAUGUCCGUCUUUAUAUCUUGUUCUUAGAUUCACCAACUAUUAACAUUUGGCCUACUUGCUUUUAUCUCUAUAUACGUAUAUGCUUUUUUUCCUGAACGAUUUUGAGAAUUAGUUGCAGACAUCAUAACUUUUCAUCCCUAAAUAUGUCAAUAAAUAUCUCCUAAGAACAAGGCUAUUCUUACAUAAUACAUUGUAUGUAAUUCUCUAAUGAUGCACAACACAAUUAACAUAGUUGGGAAAUUUAACAUUAAUAAAUAUUGUUUUCCAAUAUAUAGUUCAUAUUUAAGUUUCCCAAUUGUCCCAGAAAUGUCCUUUAGAUCUUUUUUUAAACCCCAGUUUCAGUUAUGAGUCAAACAUUGUCUUUAGUUAUCAUGUCUCUUGAUUGUUUCUGGCAGGUUUUCUAACCUUAUUCUCUCUUCCUUCUUGUUGACCCCACAUACUGAAAUUAGUUUUUCUAAUGUACUUCUUAGACUAGCCUUGACUCCUUGGGCAGACACAUUCAAGGCUCUCCACAAUUUGUCCCCAUCCUAUCUUGGCUUUACUUCCAUAACUACUUGCCAGACACUUUCUGCUCCAGCCACAGUAGACCACUCUUACUUAUUUUGUAAUUCCUGCCUCAACUCCCUGCCUGAAUUGUCUUUUCUUGUACUAAAUACUGCCUGUCAUUCAAGUGCAGCUCAAAUCCUACCACCCUAAAGCUUGCCCUCAUGGUUUAGCCUAUUGUGAUCUCUUUGAACCAGGUAUAGUAUUAUUUUUAUCCUUCUGUGACCUUAAUUUAUAUACCUUCCUAUGUUUUCCCUGCUUGAUUAGACUGCCUUAUCUUUGUAUUCCUCACUGAAUCUAGUGUGGUACCUUUUACUGACUGGGGUAGUCUUCAGGUGAGUGUCACUAAAGAAUUCCCAGGACUCUAGUCUCAUAAGGUUGCUCAUGAUUUAAACUGUUGGAGGCUGGAGUAGGGUCUGAUUUCAUAGUCUCUGUGGUAGCCAUCAGCUCUCCUGGCUGUGCCAUUUAGAGCCUAGGGCACUUGGUUCCCUUUUGCUUUCAGAAAUUCCUAAACAUAGCUCAACAUCAUGACUGAGCUGGGUGUUGGUGUUAAUUAUGGUAAAUUGAAUUUUGUUCAAAGAAAACUGUGUGGGUGACCUAACAUUCUGAUCUACCAGUAUCUAAUAGCAAAGCUGGAUUUAGAAUUCAAUUGGGCUUUCAAGAUUUGGUCAUCAGAGUCACAAUUCAAUGGCUAUGUCAAGGGAAUUUAUCCAGCGCUUUAUUUUUUUUUUUAAAUAGAUUUCAAUUUGCAGUGGACCCUCUCAAGAGAAUUGAAACAUAUGCUUCUGAAUGGUGCUGAACCCAAGAAAACCUCAUAGUAUGGAAUUUUAAAUCUCUGCUAAGCAUAGGCUGCUGAAAUGGAAAAAUGCUGAGGGUUCAAAAUUAACUCGUGAGCACUAAGAUGAAAGGAUGAUAAACAGUAAUAUUGGGUUUUGUUUGCCAGAUGUCCCUUCUGUGAACAGAGCUUGUGAUAACAAAGCUCAUGAAUACCUGCCACACCCUAUGACGUUGAAGCAGGUGUCCUGACUGCAGGUCUCCAGAAAUAGAGGGACAAGUGAGGGACAUACAGUUCGUGUUUUUGAUGAUGAAAGAGGAGCUAUUUGGUCUAGAAGAAUAAGAUAUUCUGUUUGAGUUUUAGUUCUUGUAAAAGGUAUGAGUUAACAUACCUGACUAUCCCUGGCUGCCUCUAUUUCUCUAUCUGGAUGUGCCUAAGAGAGAAGAAGAGAGCUGAGACCAGCCUUGUGUUCCAUUGCAUCUAUAAAGCCCUUCUUUACUGAUGCUUGAUAGGUAAGAAUUUUGUGGCAGAAUUUUUUUUUUUUGGCUUAAGUAAUAAGGAAAUUUAUUAUCUUACAUGCAGAAAGGCCAGUUGUAGGGCAGAGUUAAAGCGUGGUUAAGACAGACAGUUUUAUGUGCAGUUUCACUUUCUGUAGUUCCAGUUAUGCACAGUCAACCAUGGUCCAAAAAUAUUAAAUGGAAAAUUCUAGAAAUAAUACGUUUUAAAUUGCAUGCCAUUCUGAGCAGCAUGAUGAAAUGUUGCUCUGUCCUGCUCCAGGAUGGGAAUCAUCCCCUCAUCCAUUGUAUCCAUGCUAUGUACACUAGCUGCCCAUUGCUUACUUAGUAGCCAUCUUGACUGUCACGGUGUCACGGUGCUUGUGUUCAGGUAACCUUCAUUUUACUUCAUAAUGGGCCCAAAGUGCAAGAGUAAUGAUGCUGGCAUAUUGUCAUAAUUGUUUUUAUUAUUAUCGUUGUUAAUCUCUUACUGUGCCUAAUUUACAAAUUAGACUUUAUCUUAGGUAUGUGUGUAUAGGAAAAAAUAUCGCAUCCACUGGGGGUCUUAGGACAUAUCCUAGGCAGGUAAGGGGGGACUACUGUGCUUUCCAUAUGUUAUCUUCAAUUCUUAGUGUUGGCUGUAGAAUAUUUUUUUCAGAGGCCAAAAUCUUAUUGCCUCAGGGUAACAUAAAGACAGAGAUCGGCUGGUCAUGAUGGCUCAUGCCUGUCAUCCCAGCACUUUGGGAGGCCAAGGCGGACAGAUCACGAGGUCAGGAGAUCGAGACCAACCUGGCUAACAUGGGGAAACCCCGUCUCUACUAAAAAAUACAAAAAAUUAGCUGGGCGUGGUGGCAGGUGCUUGUAGUCCCAGCUAUUCUGGAGGCUGAGGCAGAAGAAUGGCAUGAACCCGGGAGGCGGAGCUUGCAGUGAGCCGAGAUCGCACCACUGCACUCCAGCCUGAGUGACAGAGCGAGACUCCAUCUCAAAAAAAAAAAAAAAAAAAGAAAUCAGCAAUAGUGAUUUCUUAAAUUUCUAAAAUCCCUGUAAUUUGUUUAGAAAAAAAAGAAAGAAGGGCUGGGCGUGGUGACUCACGCCUGUAAUCCUAGCACUUUGGGAGGUCAAGAUCACCUGAGGUCAGGAGUUCGAGACCAGCCUGGCCAACAUGGUGAAACUCCAUCUCUACUAAAAAUACAAAAAUUACCCAGAUGUGGCGGCGUGCACCUUUAAUCCCAGCUACUCGUGAGGCAGGAGAAUGGCUUGAACCUGGGAAGUGGAGGUUGCAGUGAGCCGAGUUCGUGCCACUGCACACCAGCCUGGGUGACAGAGCAGGACUCCAUCUCAAAAAAAAAAAAAAGAAAGAAAGGAAAGGAAGGAAGGAACGAAAGGAAAGAAGGAAGGAAAGGAAGGAAGGAAAGAAAGGAAGAAAGGAAAGAAAGAAAGAGAAAGAAAAAGGAAAGGAAAGAAAGAAAGAGAAAAAAAGAAAAGAGAAAAGGAAGGAAGGAGGGAAAGAAGGAAGGAAAGAAGUUAAGAAAGAAAGAGAAAAGAAAGAAAGAAAAGAAAAGAGAAAAGAAAGAACACUGGGCUGGUUGUGGAGGCUCACGACUGUAAUCCCCAGCACUUUGGGCAGCUGAGGCGAGAGGAUUGCUUGAGCCCAGGAGUUUGAGAACAGCCUGAGCAAUAAGUGAGACCCCAUCUCUUUAAGUAAAAAAGAAAAAGAAAAGAAAAACAAAAGCAAAGAUUGUUCCAGACUGUACUUAAUAUCUGCUGCCAUAUAUACACUCACUUUCCUUACUUGAACUUUGGACUGCCUCAGUGCACAAUCUCAUUGAUUACCUGCUGCUUCAAGUUUGGUGUGUUAGUCAUUCCUUAUUACUGGUUAGUAGAAUAACAGUGUACACAAAACAGCACAAUUUGACCUUUAGAGAUAUUCAUUUGAUAUCCAGCCUUUUUCAGUAAAACCUAGUGUUUGUCAAGGUUGUAGUCAGUAAGCAAAGCUUAUUACCCAUGGUAUUACUUGGAUAUGUUGCAGAUAAAACAAAUUGUAUUUUGCUUUGGUUGCUGAUUUAUAGGCACCCUGAAAGGCUGGAAUUGAGAUUCACUUUUACUGUUCUUGCUAUUAUUUCUUAUAUUGCAGAAGAGGAUUGGCCUACUCUAAGAUAAGAAGCAGAGUUUCUUUCUUUCUUUCUUUCUUUUUUUUUUUUUCUUUUUUUGAGACGGAGUUUCACUCUUGUUGCCCAGGUUGGAGUGCAAUGACGCGAUCUCAGCUCACUGCAACCUCCACCUCCUGGUUUCAAGCAAUUCUCCUGCCUCAUCCUCCUGCGUAGCUGGGAUUAUAGGCAUGCGCCACCACACCCAGCUAGUUUUGUAUUUUUUUUUUUUAGUAGAGAUGGAGUUUCUCUGUGUUGGUCAGGCUGGUCUCAAACUCCCAACCUCAGGUGAUCCGCCUGCCUCAGCCUCCCAAAGUGCUGGGAUUACAGGUGUGAGCCACCACAACCGGCAAAGCAGAAUUUCUUGAUUCCUAAGAACCCUUUUCCAGGCUUGGUUUUUGUAACAAUCAAGGUAGGCUAGGUAAUGCAUUACUCCAAAAUCCCAAUGGCUUACGACAACAAGGUUUAUUUUUCACUCGUGCUAUGUGGCUAUUGUGGUGUCUUUGCUCACUGUAGUUCCUCUGAGGUCCAGGCUGAUGGAAAUCUCCUCAACAUAUGCUUCUACCUGGGCAUGUGUGUGUGCCAGCUCUUGAAGUGACACAUCCACGUACACUCACAUUUCAGCAAUCAAAAUAAGUCACAUGCUCCCACCCAAGGGAUGGGGAAAUGAUCCUAUUAUGUGCCCAAGAGGGAGGAGAACCUGAACUAGUUGAAUAUUACCAAUGACGACCGUGGUUUUUUCAUGUAUUUUCUUAGAGGAAAAGCUGACAUUUGAUUUAUUAUCACUUUGUAGAAGGGAAGCUAGAAAUUUUAGUAACAGAAAAAUAGAGGAGUGCUCUGAUAAGAAGGAAACAUGGUUGAAUCUUAGGAAAGGUAUCCCACAUAGCAGCUUUUCAGUUUCUCUGAUUAUUUGGUAUUUAUAUCUUCUUUACUUCCCAAAUGAAUUUAAGAUGACUUAAAAUAAAAUUUCUUAACAGAAUAAAUAGUUUUUAUAUGUGGGAGGCAAGUACUUCCCGCCUCAGAGGCUUUCUGCAAAUCAUUUGUCUUCACCUUGGCUCUCUGACCUUGAUGAAGUACUGAUGUCUGUUGAGAGUGUUUUUGUCUUUUCUCUGAUUACCAAACAACCAUUUAUUAAGCAUUCACUAGGAAAAAGACACUGUGCUAAAUAAAUAAUUGUAUAGAGAUACAAAGAUAUAAAAGUCAGAUUUUCUACCUGUAAGAAGCUCAUAAGCUAGGCGUGGUGGCUCUCACGUGUAAUCUCAGCACUUUGAGAGGCCGAGGUGGAUGGAUCACUUGAGGUCAGGAGUUCAAGACCAGCCUGACCAACAUGGUGAAACCCCGUUUCUAUUCCACCGUGCCCAGCCCCAGCCCAGUUUUUACCUUUGAUGAAGCUUUCUCUGAACUUCGGUAUUGUAGUUCUCCAAACUGUUUGUCUUCUUGCUCAUGCUCUCAUGUUUUUAAUUCUAAUUGUUUCUAGUAGAUUGUAAACGCCUUUGGAAUAGUGUCAGUAUGUAAUACUUUGUUGGUUAUCCAAACAAUACAGGACAGUCAGAGGUGAUUAGUUGAUGUGAAAUAAAGAUGUGUCCCAAUUUUGUGGGUUUCUUUUUCUUUUCUUUUUUUUUUUUUGGACGGAGUCUCACUCUGUUGCCCAGGCUGGAGUGCAGUGGCAUGAUCUUGGCUCACUGCAACCUCCACCUCCUGGUUCAAGUGAUUUCCAGCUAAUUUUUGUAUUUUUAGUACAGACAGGGUUUUACCAUGUUGUCCAGGCUGGUAUCAAACUCCUGACCUCAAGUGAUCACCCGCCUCGGCCUCCCAAAGUGCAAGGAUUACAGACAUGAGCCACCAUGCCUGGCCUUCUUUUCUUUUUUUUGAGACAGGGUCUUGGUCUGUUGCCCAGCAUAUAGUGCAAUGGCACGAUCUCAGCUCAAUGCAACCUCUACUUCUCAGAGCCACUUCCACUUCAGCCUUCCAAAUAGCUGGGACUACAGGCAUGCACCACCAUGCCUGGGUAAUUUUUUUAUUUUUUGUAGAAAUGAGGUUUCUCCAUGUUGCCCAGGCUGGUCUUGGACUCCUGGGCUCAAGUGAUCCGCCCAUCUCAGCUUCCCAAAGUGUUGGAAUUACAGGCAUGAGCCAUUUUACCCAGCCUGUUUUUUUUUUAUUUUCAAGGCAUACUUUUCAGGUAUAUUAUCUAAUUAGCACAGCUAGAGGUCCUUUUUUUUUUUUUUUUUUUUUUUUUUUUUUAAUUUUGAGACAGAAGUCUUCCUCCGUUGCCCAGGCUGGAGUGCAGUGGCUCAAUCUUGGCUCACUGUAACCUCUGCCUCCCAGAUUUAAGCAAUUCUCAUGCCUCAGCCUCCUGAGUAGCUGGGACUACAGGCGCGCACCACCAUGCCCGGCUAAUUUUUUUUUUUUUUGAGAUGGAGUCUCACUCUGUCAUCCAGGCUGGAGUGCGGUGGCGCGAUCUCGGCUCACUGCAACCUCGGCCUCCUGGGUUCAAGCAAUUCUCCUGCCUCAGCCUUCCGAGUAGCUGGGAUUACAGGUGCACACCACCAUGCCCAGCUAAUUUUUUGUAUUUUUUUAGUAGAGAUGGGUUUGCACCGUCUUGGCCAGGCUGGUCUUGAACUCCUGACCUCAUGAUCUGCCCACUUUGGCCUCCCAAAGUGCUGGGAUUACAGGCGUGAGCCACUGCGCCUGGCCCUAAUUUUUGUAUUUUUUAGUAGAGACAGGGUUUCGCCAUGUUGGCCAACCUGGUCUCGAAUUCCUGACCUCUAGUGAUCCACCCGCCUCGGCCUCCCGAAGUGCUAGGAUUACAGGCGUGAGCCACUGCACCCAGCCAAGGCCCAUUUUUUAAAACCAGAUUCUAAUUAGACCUUGCCUUUGAAGGUUAUGACGUGCAUACUGACUAGUUUCAGGGUGGGCUCACUUUUCACUUUGCCUUUGCUCCCUUGGGAGAUAACCUCUGGGUGCACUCAGGAGGAACUAGGAACCCUGUGUUCCUCGAGUAGGAUUCUGCAUGAAGUGCCUUUGUGGGCUUCUGACUCUACCAGAUUCUAACUGUGUAAUUUAUGCAACCCUCUUAAAGACCUCUUUGUGCCUCAAUUUUCUUCAGUUGUAAAACAGGGAUGAUAUCACAUUUCACUGAUUCUUAGACUCACUUUUUAGGUACCAUUUAUAAUUUUAACAUCUCAAAUCAAGAUUUUUCUUAUAAUCAAUGGUAUGUCAUUUUUCUUUUUUAGUAACACAUAAAAUAGUAUGUUUUACAAUCAGUGAAGUCUUAGAUUUGAUAUAAUACAGUAAUAUCCACCAUUCAAUUAUUUGAGGAUUGGAAUUAGUGAAUAAUUGCUUAGUUCAAUAAAUGGUGAAUUUGUCUUUAUUUUUACUUUUUUCCUACUAGUCUCUCUGCCUCCUAUAUUGUGCUUUAAGACUAUCCUUUACACACCUUCCUAAUGAUAUAUUUAAAAAUGUAUUUUUUACUAACUCCCUUGCUGAUGUAUACCCCCAGCUGUAGUGAUUCUUAAGGAGGAGAGGGACAUGCCUCACUCCCCUCCACCACCUUCCUCAAAACCUUAUGAUAGUUCAGUGACACUGAGUGAUUGAGGGAAGUGUGUUAUUUAAGUGAAUUUUCAUGAAUUUUGUUUUAAAGUUGGGGACCACUGCCAAAAGGGUGAAGCUGCAGCCCCUUCUUAUGUACAAAGACCUCCAUGAGCAUGCCCAGCCUGCCUCUCUAGCCUCACCUCUUGCUUUGAACUUUACGCUCCAGUGAUACCGAACUAUUUUUGUAACUUGUGUUUAGGGAUGUUACAGCUUUGGAAGUCUUUGAUCCAGCAUGUAAAGGGUGAGCAGGUGGUGUGGGGUGCAGGGCUGUUCCAUGGGCAGUGAUUUAGAAGGAGAGGGAACUGUGGGGAUGGAGAUGGUCUCCUUAGAAACAGUUUUAUGGGAUCUAGGCAUGGCAUUUGGACUUUUUUUCUUUUUUUGUUUUACGGCCAAAUUGUGCUUCACUUAUCUGCCUGCCUAUGUGGUUGCCUUAGGCAGAGUGAUAGAAUCCCAGGGUAGAGGGCAGGGACUUAUUCUCUGUUGCUCCAGAGGACACAGGUAGGAUCGGGGGUGGAAAUUAUUUGAUGCUUGUUGUAGCUCAGUACAGUUAAACCCUCUCUGACAGUUGUUGCUGCUCAACAGCCCACUGAGCAGCUUGGAAACAGUAGUGAGUUCUCUUCAUGGAGGCGAAGGAUCUGUCACCAGAGUGAAGGAUCUAUACUGUUGCAGGAGCCAAAGAACAGAAUCCUGCACUGGGAAAGAGCCCUUUCCUAGGAAUUAAUGAAACCAGCUGUGCCAUGAAGGAGUAGAAAAAGCUAUCAGCCUGGGAGGCCAAGGCAGGCGGAUCACGAGGUCAGGAGAUCGAGACCAUCCUGGCUAACACGGUGAAAUCCCGUCUCUACUAAAAAAUACAAAAAAUUAGCCAGGUGUGGUGGUGGGCACCUGUAGUCCCAGCUACUCCGGAGGCUGAGGCAGGAGAAUGGCAUGAACCCGGGAGGCAGAGCCUGCAGUGAGUCAAGAUCACGCCACUGCACUCCAGCCUGGGCGACAGAGCGAGACUCCGUAUCAAAAAAAAAAGAAAAAGCUAUCAGCACUCAGCUUUUUAUAUAGUAGACUAGAUGUCUUGUCAGUGAUUAACAAUGCUUUUUCAAAACUUGAGUGUUGGAGUAUUGGCAUCCUCAUGUUUUAAUACAAGCACUGUGACCAUGCUCUUUUAUAUUUGAUUAGUGUUUUUGUCUUCUGUGUAUAACACAGUUAUUUUGAGAAAGACUCCACAGUGGGAGUGUGAGCCUCUGUCUUUUGUGGCACAACAGGCAUUUGCCCUCCAAUGCAAGGGACCUGGAGAGGGAUUGAUCUAGAUUAGAGGUUUCUAUGGAUUCGAUUAAGCUUGGGAUAUGGCGUGCAUUAAUGUGCUGCUAGUGUCUCAAAAGAUUUUACUUAUCCUCUCUGCCUGUGAAAUUUUCUGUUAGAUGGGAUCCUGCCAUCCCAAUACAGAGCUGCAUUUUAUUAUAGAAACAGUAUUUUUCAUAUUAAGUGUAGCAGCAGGGGUGCUCUCUGGUACCACAUUUUGGGUAGCUUUAUGGAUUUAAGUCUGCUUUCAUGAGCUGCUAGCCUUGAAAAUCUUACUUAUUACCUUUAUAGAAAAAUGCAUUGUAAAUUUAAAUACUUAAACUUUUGGAACAUGACCAAUUUAAGGUUUGGAGACUGUGUUUUUACUAGAGUAAAAGGUAAUUUAAAUACCUUGCUUAUGCCUUCUUGUUUAUUAUCUUCAGGUACCAUAUCAGUCUGUUUUUAAGUGAUCUCUGUUGACAUGGGAUUAGAUUCAGAACUUUCUUUGAUUUCAGUGAGAAACAACCAGGGAUGGAACCCUUGAAGAGCAUGGAAUCCUCUGUACUUCCAGAGGGUUGUUCCAACUGACUUGUCCCCACCCCUAGUAGUUCUAGAGCUAGGUUCCUGAGGCACAUCUGUAUCCUUGAAGAAACACUUUUAUUUUUCUUCUUAGAUUCAAUUCUGAUAUGAAACUAGCAGAAUCAUUUUAAUCUACUUUUUUUUUUUUUUGUAACAGGGUUUCGCCCUGUCUCCCAGGCUGGAGUGCAAUGGUGCAAUCACUGCGGUCUUGACUUCCAGGCUCAAGUGAUGCUCUUACCUUAGCCUACCGAGUAGCUGGAACUACAGGCUUGUGCCACUAUGCCCAGCUAGUUUUUAAACGUUUUUUUUUUUAGAGAGACAGAGGUCUCACUAUGUUGCCCAGGUCUUGAACUCCUGGGCUCAAGCAAUGCUCCCUCCUAGGCCUCCCAAAAUGCUGGGAUUACAGGCAUGAGCUGCUUUGCCUGGUCUUAAUCUACUUUUGUCUGCAGAGGUUAACUUUGUGUUGCAGACAGUAGGUAGGUCCAGUUAUAGAAGCAAGUACCUUCAAGGGAUGGAGGAUGAAGUGAUAGCAUCCUAGAAAAGAAAAAAUGAGGCCAGGCGAGGUGGCUCACUCAUCCCAGCACUUUGGGAGGCUGAGGUGGGCGGAUCACCUGAGGUCAGGAGUUUGAGACCAGCCUGGCCAACAUGGUGAAACCCCAUUUCUACUAAAAAAUACAAAAAUUAGCCAGGUGUGCCGGGCGCGGUUGCUCACACCUGUAAUCCCAGCGCUUUGGGAGGCUGAGGCGGGCGGAUCACGAGGUCAGGAGAUCAAGACCAUCCUGGCUAACACGGUGAAACCCUGUCUCUACUAAAAAUACAAAAAAUUAGCGGGGUGUGGUGGCACGCGCCUGUAGUCCCAGCUACUCGGGAGGCUGAGGCAGGAGAAUCGCUUGAACCCAGGAGGCGGAUGUUGCAGUGAGCCGAGAUCGCACCACUGCACUCCAGCCUGGGCCACAGAGCGAGACUCCGUCUCAAAAAAAAAAAAAAGAAAAAAAAAUUAGCCAGGUGUGGUGUCAUGUGGCCUGUAGUCCCAGCUACUGGGGAGGUUGAGGCUGUAGGAUCGCUUGAAUCUGGGAGGUGGAGGUUGCAAUGAGCUGAGAUUGUGCCACUGUAUUCCAUCCUGGGCAACAGAGUGAGACCAUGUCUCAAGAAAAAAAAAAAUAAAGAGACACAGAUGUCCAGAGGUGUUGGGGGAGAGUGGAGAGACUCGAUAACAGGUUAAAUUGUCUUUAGAGGAAUUGACAUUUUGACUACAGUACUCAUUCCUACUCUUGACUAUUUUCAGGGGUUCCAAGAGAAAAAUUUAAAUAGGACAGAGCUAAAAACACCGACUUUCACUCACUAAAAUGUGGUCAUAAAUUUAUGUAUCUUGAUCUUGGAAAACAUCAGUAUCUAUGUCUCAUUUUACCUUUUAAGAUUUCAGAUUUAUCACCUGAAGCAUUUUCUCUAUUGCCUUCCCCUUAUAUCAAGAUAUCCUGUUGGUUUAUUGGGGUUAUCCUAAUCUUUAUGUCAGAUGAAACUCAUCCUGGUUGUAAUUAUUUUUAGGUUAAAUUACCAUUGGAUUUGCCAAGUACUGAAAAAUCAGUGGCACUUUUGUUUAAACUCUGUUAAUAAACACUUCUAAAUGAA
Long non-coding RNA from Symphalangus syndactylus (siamang), 17012 nucleotides. RefSeq lists it as uncharacterized. The record is from RefSeq and is a predicted model, not a curated record. Lineage: Eukaryota; Metazoa; Chordata; Mammalia; Primates; Hylobatidae.